This 465-nucleotide ribosomal RNA is filed under the name uncultured Zoogloea sp. Its description in RNAcentral is "bacterial SSU rRNA". It matches the Rfam family "Bacterial small subunit ribosomal RNA", at positions 338 to 795 of the family's 1533-position model. Lineage: Bacteria; Pseudomonadati; Pseudomonadota; Betaproteobacteria; Rhodocyclales; Zoogloeaceae. The record is from RNAcentral.
CCUACGGGAGGCUGCAGUGGGGAAUUUUGGACAAUGGGCGCAAGCCUGAUCCAGCCAUGCCGCGUGAGUGAAGAAGGCCUUCGGGUUGUAAAGCUCUUUCAGACGGAAAGAAAUCGCGCGCUCUAACAUAGCGCGUGGAUGACGGUACCGUAAGAAGAAGCACCGGCUAACUACGUGCCAGCAGCCGCGGUAAUACGUAGGGUGCGAGCGUUAAUCGGAAUUACUGGGCGUAAAGCGUGCGCAGGCGGUGAUGUAAGACAGAUGUGAAAUCCCCGGGCUCAACCUGGGAACUGCGUUUGUGACUGCAUCACUCGAGUACGGCAGAGGGAGGUGGAAUUCCACGUGUAGCAGUGAAAUGCGUAGAGAUGUGGAGGAACACCGAUGGCGAAGGCAGCCUCCUGGGCCAGUACUGACGCUCAUGCACGAAAGCGUGGGGAGCAAACAGGAUUAGAUACCCCAGUAGUC